GAUGAACGCUAGCGGCAGGCCUAAUACAUGCAAGUCGGACGGGAUUCAGGAGCUUGCUUCUGAUGAGAGUGGCGCACGGGUGCGUAACACGUAUGUAACCUACCUUUAUCAGGGGGAUAGCCUCUCGAAAGAGAGAUUAAGCCCGCAUAAAAUCACAGCACAGCAUUGUGUAAUGAUCAAAUAUUUAUAGGAUAAAGAUGGGCAUGCGGAACAUUAGCUAGAUGGCGGGGUAACGGCCCACCAUGGCGACGAUGUUUAGGGGAUCUGAGAGGAUGGCCCCACACACUGGUACUGGGACACGGACCAGACUCCUACGGGAGGCAGCAGUAAGGAAUAUUGGUCGAUGGGCGGAAGCCUGAACCAGCCAUGCCGCGUGCAGGAAGACGGCCCUACGGGUUGUAAACUGCUUUUAUACGGGAAUAAACCCAGAUACGUGUAUCUGGCUGAAGGUACUGUAAGAAUAAGGAGCGGCUAACUCCGUG
RNAcentral lists this ribosomal RNA (482 nucleotides) under uncultured bacterium. RNAcentral describes it as "partial 16S ribosomal RNA". It matches the Rfam family "Bacterial small subunit ribosomal RNA", at positions 28 to 507 of the family's 1533-position model. The record is from RNAcentral.